Molecule: microRNA precursor, 196 nt
Filed under: Oryza nivara
Lineage: Eukaryota; Viridiplantae; Streptophyta; Magnoliopsida; Poales; Poaceae
Description: MIR812 microRNA precursor family
Rfam family: MIR812 microRNA precursor family
Source: Rfam by way of RNAcentral
AAAAAGACAAACCCUGAGUUUCCGUGUCCAACUUUAACUAUCCGUCUUAUAUGAAAUUUUUUUAUAAUUUGUAUUUUUAUUGUUGUUAAAUGAUAAAACAUGAUUAAUACUUUGUACGUGACUUGUCUUUUUAAUUUUUUUUAUAUUUUAUUUAAAUAAGACGGACGAUCAAAUAUUAGACACGAAAAUUAGGGUU